Molecule: unclassified non-coding RNA, 326 nt
Filed under: Trechispora sp.
Lineage: Eukaryota; Fungi; Basidiomycota; Agaricomycetes; Trechisporales; Hydnodontaceae
Description: partial contains 5.8S ribosomal RNA, internal transcribed spacer 2, and large subunit ribosomal RNA
Rfam family: 5.8S ribosomal RNA (bases 1-71)
Source: RNAcentral
GUGAGUCAUCGAAUCUUUGAACGCACCUUGCGCCCUUUGGUAUUCCGAUGGGCAUGCCUGUUCGAGUGUCUUGAAAUCUUCGCUGCCUUCCGGUUUUGUGACUGGCUGGUGUGCGGACUUGGGGGCCUGCCACGGUGACGUGGCUCCCCUCGAAUGCAUCGGUGGGCUCUCUGAGCACCCAUGGGCGUUGUAUUGUCCUCGUCCGACUGGGCCUCGUGUCCCCACCCUGACCCGCCAUACGAGUGGCGGUCAAGUGACACUUUGAAAUCUGACCUCGAAUCAGGUAGGACUACCCGCUGAACUUAAGCAUAUCAAUAAGCGGAGGA